RNAcentral lists this ribosomal RNA (154 nucleotides) under uncultured bacterium. RNAcentral describes it as "partial 16S ribosomal RNA". It matches the Rfam family "Bacterial small subunit ribosomal RNA", at positions 355 to 507 of the family's 1533-position model. The record is from RNAcentral.
UGAGGAAUAUUGGUCAAUGGACGAGAGUUGAACCAGCCAAGUCGCGUGAAGGAAGAAGGAUGUAUGGUUCGUAAACUUCUUUUAUAGGAGAAUAAAAAAGAGGACGUGUCCUUUCUUGUAUGUACCCUACGAAUAAGGAUCGGCUAACUCCGUG